CGGGGAGUGGCGCAGCCUGGUAGCGCACCUGCUUUGGGAGCAGGGGGCCGCUGGUUCAAAUCCAGUCUCCCCGACCA
RNAcentral lists this transfer RNA (77 nucleotides) under Candidatus Bipolaricaulota bacterium. Its description in RNAcentral is "tRNA-Pro". It matches the Rfam family "tRNA". Rfam says of the family: Transfer RNA (tRNA) molecules are approximately 80 nucleotides in length. Lineage: Bacteria; Candidatus Bipolaricaulota. The record is from RNAcentral.